RNAcentral lists this ribosomal RNA (1403 nucleotides) under metagenome. RNAcentral describes it as "bacterial LSU rRNA". It matches the Rfam family "Bacterial large subunit ribosomal RNA", at positions 1534 to 2925 of the family's 2925-position model. The record is from RNAcentral.
AAAAAAAUAUGACAACCUUGAAACGUGAUGGAUAGGGAAAGGUUUACUGAGUACCGAAGUAUCUGAUACUUUGCUUCUUAAAAAAGCUUCUAGGUUUGGUUCGACCAAAAACGAUAGUAUUACCCGUACCAAGAACGAACACACGUGCUCGAGGAGAAUAUCCACAGGCAAGCGAGUUAACUAUGGUUAAGGAACUCGGCAAAUUAGCCCCGUAACUUCGGGAGAAGGGGUCCUCGGGGAAACCUGUGGUACAAUAAAGAGGCACGAACGACUGUUUACCAAAAACACAGCUCUCUGCUAAGGUGUAAACCGACGUAUAGAGGGCGACGCCUGUCCAGUGCUGGAAGGUCGAGAGGAAAGGUUAGCCAGCAAUGGCGAAGCUUUGAAUUGAAGCCCCAGUAAACGACGGCUGUAACCAUAACGGUCCAAAGGUAGCGAAAUUCCUUGUCAGGUAAGUUCUGACCCGCAUGAAAGGCGUAACGAUUCGUGCACUGUCUCAACCAUAGACUCGGUGAAAUCUUAAUACCGGUGAAGAUGCCGGUUACCCGCAACUAGACGGAAAGACCCCGUGGAGCUUUACUAUAGCCUGAUAUUGAACUUUGGUUUGCUAGGGGUGGGAGACAAUUCUAACUUCGGUUAGAAAAGUCGUUAAAACCACCAUAGUAAGCAGAAGUUUCUAACUUAGCCCGUUAAUCCGGGCAAGGACAGUGUUUGGUGGGUAGUUUAACUGGGGCGGUUGCCUCCUAAAAAGUAACGGAGGCGUUCAAAGGUAUCCUCAGCAGGAGUAGAAAUCCUGUGUUGAGCGUAAAGGUAUAAGGAUGCUUAACUGUGAGACCAACAAGUCGAACAGGUGAUACAAUAGUAUCACGUUCCGCAAGGAACGUACGAAAGUAGGACUUAGUGAUCAGCCGAUACUUAGUGGUAAGGUCGGCGGCAGCGAAUAAGUUACCCCGGGGAUAACAGGCUAAUCUUUUCCGAGCGACCAUAGCGACGAAAAGGAUUGGCACCUCGAUGUCGGCUCUUCUCAUCCUGGAGGUGUAGAAGCUUCCAAGGGUUGGGCUGUUCGCCCAUUAAAGAGGAACGUGAGCUGGGUUCAGAACGUCGUGAGACAGUUUGGUUCCUAUCUAUUGCGGGCGCAGGAAAUUUGAGGAGUGCUGCUCUUAGUACGCAAGGACCAGAGUGGACUAACCAAUGGUGUACCAGUUGUUUCGUCAGAAGCACGGCUGGAUAAUUAUGUUAGGUAUAGAUAAGUGCUGAAAGCAUCUAAGUACGAAACUAACUCCAAGAUAAGAUUUCCCAUUCCGGAAACGGAAAUAAGAUACCUUCCAGACUAGGGGGUUGAUAGGUGGCAGAUGUAAGUAUAGCAAUAUAUUCAGUUGAGCCAUACUAAUUUAUCGAAGAGU